Molecule: ribosomal RNA, 869 nt
Filed under: uncultured bacterium
Lineage: Bacteria
Description: bacterial SSU rRNA
Rfam family: Bacterial small subunit ribosomal RNA
Source: RNAcentral
GCAGCACGGGGGCAACCCUGGUGGCGAGUGGCGAACGGGUGAGUAACAUAUCGGAACGUGCCCUGGAGUGGGGGAUAACUAGUCGAAAGAUUAGCUAAUACCGCAUACGAUCUACGGAUGAAAGUGGGGGAUCGCAAGACCUCAUGCUCGUGGAGCGGCCGAUAUCUGAUUAGCUAGUUGGUGGGGUAAAGGCCUACCAAGGCAUCGAUCAGUAGCUGGUCUGAGAGGACGACCAGCCACACUGGGACUGAGACACGGCCCAGACUCCUACGGGAGGCAGCAGUGGGGAAUUUUGGACAAUGGGCGCAAGCCUGAUCCAGCAAUGCCGCGUGAGUGAAGAAGGCCUUCGGGUUGUAAAGCUCUUUUGUCAGGGAAGAAACGGUUCGGGUUAAUACCUUGGGCUAAUGACGGUACCUGAAGAAUAAGCACCGGCUAACUACGUGCCAGCAGCCGCGGUAAUACGUAGGGUGCAAGCGUUAAUCGGAAUUACUGGGCGUAAAGCGUGCGCAGGCGGUUGUGCAAGACAGAUGUGAAAUCCCCGGGCUCAACCUGGGAAUUGCAUUUGUGACUGUACGGCUAGAGUGUGUCAGAGGGGGGUAGAAUUCCACGUGUAGCAGUGAAAUGCGUAGAGAUGUGGAGGAAUACCGAUGGCGAAGGCAGCCCCCUGGGAUAACACUGACGCUCAUGCACGAAAGCGUGGGGAGCAAACAGGAUUAGAUACCCUNNAGUCCACGCCCUANACGAUGUCUACUAGUUGUCGGGUCUUUAUUGACUUGGNAACGCAGCUAACGCGUGAAGUAGACCGCCUGGGGAGUANGGUCGCAAGAUUAAAACUCAAAGGAAUUGANGGGGACCCGCACAAGCGGUGG